RNAcentral lists this ribosomal RNA (322 nucleotides) under uncultured Bacteroidota bacterium. Its description in RNAcentral is "bacterial SSU rRNA". It matches the Rfam family "Bacterial small subunit ribosomal RNA", at positions 28 to 351 of the family's 1533-position model. Lineage: Bacteria; Pseudomonadati; Bacteroidota. The record is from RNAcentral.
GAUGAACGCUAGCGGCAGGCCUAAUACAUGCAAGUCGAACGGGUUGUUGUAGCAAUACAACGAUCAGUGGCGCACGGGUGCGUAACGCGUAUGCAACCUACCUUAAACUGGGGGAUAGCCCGUCGAAAGACGGAUUAAUACCGCAUAAUACUAUUUGAUGGCAUCUGAAGAUAGUUAAAGAUUUAUUGGUUUAAGAUGGGCAUGCGUGCCAUUAGCUAGUUGGUAGUGUAACGGACUACCAAGGCUACGAUGGCUAGGGGUUCUGAGAGGAUGAUCCCCCACACUGGUACUGAGAUACGGACCAGACUCCUACGGGAGGCUG